RNAcentral lists this ribosomal RNA (467 nucleotides) under uncultured Desulfovibrio sp. RNAcentral describes it as "bacterial SSU rRNA". It matches the Rfam family "Bacterial small subunit ribosomal RNA", at positions 338 to 796 of the family's 1533-position model. The record is from RNAcentral. Lineage: Bacteria; Pseudomonadati; Thermodesulfobacteriota; Desulfovibrionia; Desulfovibrionales; Desulfovibrionaceae.
CCUACGGGGGGCAGCAGUGGGGAAUAUUGCGCAAUGGGGGAAACCCUGACGCAGCGACGCCGUGUGAGGGAAGAAGGCUUUCGGGUCGUAAACCUCUGUCAGAAAGGAAGAACCUCCCAUAUCCGAAUAGGGUGUGGGACUGACGGUACUUUCAAAGGAAGCACCGGCUAACUCCGUGCCAGCAGCCGCGGUAAUACGGAGGGUGCUAGCGUUAAUCGGAAUCACUGGGCGUAAAGCGCGCGUAGGCCGCUUCUUAAGUCGGACGUGAAAGCCCUCGGCUCAACCGGGGAACUGCGUUGGAGACUGGGAGGCUUGAGUCCUGGAGAGGGUGGCGGAAUUCCGGGUGUAGGAGUGAAAUCCGUAGAUAUCCGGAGGAACACCGGUGGCGAAGGCGGCCACCUGGACAGGUACUGACGCUGAGGCGCGAAAGCGUGGGGAGCAAACAGGAUUAGAUACCCGGGUAGUCC